UUUUGUAGAAGAUCUCAUUUCAAUUCUUUAUACCCUCUGGUAUUUUCCUUUUGCAAACACAUGAUUCUUUUACCUUCACGAAAUCCUGCGGGAAUACCCCGAUCUCCGGUUAUAUGCCAAAACUUGUUAGUGGAGGCAAGAAUGAAAAAAAAUGAAAAAAAAGAGGCGAAAAGAAUAAAAAAUAAAAGAAUGAGAAAGACAA
Molecule: long non-coding RNA, 202 nt
Filed under: Lathyrus oleraceus (garden pea)
Lineage: Eukaryota; Viridiplantae; Streptophyta; Magnoliopsida; Fabales; Fabaceae
Description: Pisum sativum (pea) long non-coding RNA (PSAT_LNC018308)
Source: RNAcentral